Molecule: non-coding RNA, 149 nt
Filed under: Candidatus Jettenia caeni
Lineage: Bacteria; Pseudomonadati; Planctomycetota; Candidatus Brocadiia; Candidatus Brocadiales; Candidatus Brocadiaceae
Also listed under: 1 other name
Description: planctomycete KSU-1 c-di-GMP-I riboswitch aptamer
Rfam family: c-di-GMP-I riboswitch aptamer
About the family: GEMM was predicted in a large-scale screen for bacterial structured RNA regulatory elements. Genes associated with GEMM are involved in a diverse array of functions, including chemotaxis regulation, signal transduction, secretion and chitin.
Source: Rfam by way of RNAcentral
UUCCGAUAAAGGCAAACUCUGAGUAAUCAGGGGGCGCAAAGGAAAGGGUCUUGUAACCGUGGACAGUGUUCGUGAACAGUGUCAGUAUAAGUAAAAGACACUUACACCCAUAACUGGAACGAUGAAAAUAAGAUAGCCUUACUGCCGAA